GACGAACGCUGGCGGCAGGCUUAACACAUGCAAGUCGAGCGAGCGGCGGACGGGUGAGUAAUGUCUGGGAAACUGACUGAUGGAGGGGGAUAACUACUGGAAACGGUAGCUAAUACCGCAUACCAUCAUAUGUACCCAGAUGGGAGUAGCUAGUAGGUGGGGUAAUGGCUCACCUAGGCGACGAUCCCUAGCUGGUCUGAUAGGAUGACCAGCCACACUGGAACUGAGAAACGGCCCAGACUCCGACGGGAGGCAGCAGUGGGGAAUAUUGCACAAUGGGCGCAAGCCUGAUGCAGCCAUGCCGCGUGUGUGAAGAAGGCCUUCGGGUUGUAAAGCACUUUCAGCGAGGAGGCGUUACUCGCAGAAGAAGCACCGGCUAACUCCGUGCCAGCAGCCGCGGUAAUAC
RNAcentral lists this ribosomal RNA (406 nucleotides) under uncultured bacterium. Its description in RNAcentral is "partial 16S ribosomal RNA". It matches the Rfam family "Bacterial small subunit ribosomal RNA", at positions 28 to 526 of the family's 1533-position model. The record is from RNAcentral.